CAGGAUAGGAGGGAUCCACCUGAAGGACAACGUCAAGAGGAUCAUGGAGAAGCUGAUGAGCAAUGACCUCAUGAGCAAAUUCAACAUGAAAGGAGGGAGGGGCAAGCUUGCCUUCACCAAGCUACGCCUUCUCAGUGUCAUUACAGAGAGUGUCCUGAAGACUCCAGGGAGGGAGGAAGAGACGGUGGCCAAGAUUUGUGAGGCUGUGGCCUUCUGUCUUAAAUAUGCCCCAGACAGGGUGGGCGGAGG
Molecule: long non-coding RNA, 249 nt
Organism: Acanthopagrus latus (yellowfin seabream)
Lineage: Eukaryota; Metazoa; Chordata; Actinopteri; Spariformes; Sparidae
Exons: 3
Source: RefSeq, a predicted model, not a curated record